Molecule: ribosomal RNA, 432 nt
Filed under: uncultured bacterium
Lineage: Bacteria
Description: partial 16S ribosomal RNA
Rfam family: Bacterial small subunit ribosomal RNA
Source: RNAcentral
AACGAACGCUGGCGGCAUGCCUAACACAUGCAAGUCGAACGAGACCUUCGGGUCUAGUGGCGCACGGGUGCGUAACGCGUGGGAACCUGCCCUUAGGUUCGGAAUAACUCCCCGAAAGGGGUGCUAAUACCGGAUAAUGUCUUCGGACCAAAGAUUUAUCGCCUUUGGAUGGGCCCGCGUUGGAUUAGCUAGUUGGUAGGGUAAAAGCCUACCAAGGCGACGAUCCAUAGCUGGUCUGAGAGGAUGAUCAGCCACACUGGGACUGAGACACGGCCCAGACUCCUACGGAGGCAGCAGUGGGGAAUAUUGGACAAUGGGCGAAAGCCUGAUCCAGCAAUGCCGCGUGAGUGAUGAAGGCCUUAGGGUUGUAAAGCUCUUUUACCCGGGAUGAUAAUGACAGUACCGGGAGAAUAAGCGCCGGCUAACUCCGUG